AUGGGGUACCAGGAGGACAUGCUGGCUUAUAAUUUCCUCCGGAGGACAACCAGAGAUGGUUUCUAUGUCGGCGGAUUGCUGGAAUUAAGCAAAAAAAAAUUUGAAGGUAACCACGUGUUCAUAGCUCAAAACAGUUACAGCGCACACACGCAGCACACACUAGAAGGACCCAGAAACACAUGUGUCCUUGGAACUUUGCACAAAAGACCCCCCAAAAUACAAAAGUACAACCCAGUCCUUGGAGGCCCUUGCACACAACAUCUUCAACACGCGUCUCCAUCCGCCGUCGCCGCCAAAGCACUGCCGGAGGAUGGGAAGACAGGCUGCCAACAAACCCGAAUCCGCCGAAGCACCAUCGCUGGAGCAGCUUUGUGA
This 375-nucleotide ribosomal RNA is filed under the name Triticum aestivum (bread wheat). Its description in RNAcentral is "partial small subunit ribosomal RNA". The record is from RNAcentral. Lineage: Eukaryota; Viridiplantae; Streptophyta; Magnoliopsida; Poales; Poaceae.